Molecule: small nucleolar RNA, 106 nt
Organism: Dioscorea cayenensis subsp. rotundata (Guinea yam)
Lineage: Eukaryota; Viridiplantae; Streptophyta; Magnoliopsida; Dioscoreales; Dioscoreaceae
Source: RefSeq, a predicted model, not a curated record
AACCCAUGUUGUGGACACUUCUGCAAGGGGCCUUGAAUCUCUCCUAAGUCUCAAACAAGGAUUCAAACUCCAUCUGUACAAAUGAACAUAUCUCAUUACGAAGCUU